RNAcentral lists this ribosomal RNA (497 nucleotides) under uncultured bacterium. RNAcentral's name for it is "partial 16S ribosomal RNA". It matches the Rfam family "Bacterial small subunit ribosomal RNA", at positions 28 to 507 of the family's 1533-position model. The record is from RNAcentral.
GAUGAACGCUGGCGGCGUGCCUAAUACAUGCAAGUCGAGCGAACGGACGAGAAGCUUGCUUCUCUGAUGUUAGCGGCGGACGGGUGAGUAACACGUGGAUAACCUACCUAUAAGACUGGGAUAACUUCGGGAAACCGGAGCUAAUACCGGAUAAUAUUUUGAACCGCAUGGUUCAAAAGUGAAAGACGGUCUUGCUGUCACUUAUAGAUGGAUCCGCGCUGCAUUAGCUAGUUGGUAAGGUAACGGCUUACCAAGGCAACGAUGCAUAGCCGACCUGAGAGGGUGAUCGGCCACACUGGAACUGAGACACGGUCCAGACUCCUACGGGAGGCAGCAGUAGGGAAUCUUCCGCAAUGGGCGAAAGCCUGACGGAGCAACGCCGAGUGAGUGAUGAAGGUCUUCGGAUCGUAAAACUCUGUUAUUAGGGAAGAACAUAUGUGUAAGUAGCUGUGCACAUCUUGACGGUACCUAAUCAGAAAGCCACGGCUAACUACGUG